RNAcentral lists this ribosomal RNA (443 nucleotides) under uncultured bacterium. RNAcentral describes it as "partial 16S ribosomal RNA". It matches the Rfam family "Bacterial small subunit ribosomal RNA", at positions 338 to 795 of the family's 1533-position model. The record is from RNAcentral.
CCUACGGGAGGCAGCAGUGGGGAAUAUUGGGCAAUGGGCGCAAGCCUGACCCAGCAACGCCGCGUGGAGGAAGAAGGCUUUCGGGUUGUAAACUUCUUUUGUCAGGGACGAAGCAAGUGACGGUACCUGACGAAUAAGCCACGGCUAACUACGUGCCAGCCGCCGCGUUAAUACGUCGGGGGCACGCGUUAUCCGUAGUUACUGGGUGUAAAGGGCGUGUAGGCGGGACUGGAAGUCAGAUGUGAACGCCCCGGGCUCAACCUGGGGACUGCAUGUGAUACUGUAGUUCUUGAGUACUGGAGAGGCAGGCGGAAUUCCUAGUGUAGCGGUGAAAUGCGUAGAUAUGAGGAGGAACACCAGUGGCGAAGGCGGUCUGCUGGACAGCAACUGACGCUGAGGCGCGAAAGCGUGGGGAGCAAACAGGAUUAGAUACCCUUGUAGUC